UACGGGGGGGGCAAGCGUUGUUCGGAAUUACUGGGCGUAAAGGGCUCGUAGGCGGCCAACUAAGUCGGACGUGAAAUCCCUCGGCUUAACCGGGGAACUGCGUCCGAUACUGGAUGGCUUGAGAUUGGGAGAGGGAUGCGGAAUUCCAGGUGUAGCGGUGAAAUGCGUAGAUAUCUGGAGGAACACCGGUGGCGAAGGCGGGUCUCUGGGCCGAUACUGACGCUGAGGAGCGAAAGCGUGGGGAGCAAACAGG
RNAcentral lists this ribosomal RNA (253 nucleotides) under uncultured bacterium. Its description in RNAcentral is "partial 16S ribosomal RNA". It matches the Rfam family "Bacterial small subunit ribosomal RNA", at positions 524 to 776 of the family's 1533-position model. The record is from RNAcentral.